This 1593-nucleotide ribosomal RNA is filed under the name Salmonella enterica subsp. enterica serovar Indiana. RNAcentral describes it as "partial 23S ribosomal RNA". It matches the Rfam family "Bacterial large subunit ribosomal RNA", at positions 1227 to 2802 of the family's 2925-position model. The record is from RNAcentral. Lineage: Bacteria; Pseudomonadati; Pseudomonadota; Gammaproteobacteria; Enterobacterales; Enterobacteriaceae.
GGUAGGGGAGCGUUCUGUAAGCCUGCGAAGGUGGCCUGUGAGGGUUGCUGGAGGUAUCAGAAGUGCGAAUGCUGACAUAAGUAACGAUAAAGCGGGUGAAAAGCCCGCUCGCCGGAAGACCAAGGGUUCCUGUCCAACGUUAAUCGGGGCAGGGUGAGUCGACCCCUAAGGCGAGGCCGAAAGGCGUAGUCGAUGGGAAACGGGUUAAUAUUCCCGUACUUGGUGUUACUGCGAAGGGGGGACGGAGAAGGCUAUGUUGGCCGGGCGACGGUUGUCCCGGUUUAAGCGUGUAGGUGUGUGUUCCAGGUAAAUCCGGUUCACUUUAACACUGAGGCGUGACGACGAGGCACUACGGUGCUGAAGCAACAAAUGCCCUGCUUCCAGGAAAAGCCUCUAAGCAUCAGGUAACAUCAAAUCGUACCCCAAACCGACACAGGUGGUCAGGUAGAGAAUACCAAGGCGCUUGAGAGAACUCGGGUGAAGGAACUAGGCAAAAUGGUGCCGUAACUUCGGGAGAAGGCACGCUGACAUGUAGGUGAAGUGAUUUACUCAUGGAGCUGAAGUCAGUCGAAGAUACCAGCUGGCUGCAACUGUUUAUUAAAAACACAGCACUGUGCAAACACGAAAGUGGACGUAUACGGUGUGACGCCUGCCCGGUGCCGGAAGGUUAAUUGAUGGGGUCAGCGCAAGCGAAGCUCCUGAUCGAAGCCCCGGUAAACGGCGGCCGUAACUAUAACGGUCCUAAGGUAGCGAAAUUCCUUGUCGGGUAAGUUCCGACCUGCACGAAUGGCGUAAUGAUGGCCAGGCUGUCUCCACCCGAGACUCAGUGAAAUUGAACUCGCUGUGAAGAUGCAGUGUACCCGCGGCAAGACGGAAAGACCCCGUGAACCUUUACUAUAGCUUGACACUGAACAUUGAGCCUUGAUGUGUAGGAUAGGUGGGAGGCUUUGAAGUGUGGACGCCAGUCUGCAUGGAGCCGACCUUGAAAUACCACCCUUUAAUGUUUGAUGUUCUAACGUGGACCCGUAAUCCGGGUUGCGGACAGUGUCUGGUGGGUAGUUUGACUGGGGCGGUCUCCUCCUAAAGAGUAACGGAGGAGCACGAAGGUUGGCUAAUCCUGGUCGGACAUCAGGAGGUUAGUGCAAUGGCAUAAGCCAGCUUGACUGCGAGCGUGACGGCGCGAGCAGGUGCGAAAGCAGGUCAUAGUGAUCCGGUGGUUCUGAAUGGAAGGGCCAUCGCUCAACGGAUAAAAGGUACUCCGGGGAUAACAGGCUGAUACCGCCCAAGAGUUCAUAUCGACGGCGGUGUUUGGCACCUCGAUGUCGGCUCAUCACAUCCUGGGGCUGAAGUAGGUCCCAAGGGUAUGGCUGUUCGCCAUUUAAAGUGGUACGCGAGCUGGGUUUAGAACGUCGUGAGACAGUUCGGUCCCUAUCUGCCGUGGGCGCUGGAGAACUGAGGGGGGCUGCUCCUAGUACGAGAGGACCGGAGUGGACGCAUCACUGGUGUUCGGGUUGUCAUGCCAAUGGCACUGCCCGGUAGCUAAAUGCGGAAGAGAUAAGUGCUGAAAGCAUCUAAGCACGAAACUUGCCCCGA